RNAcentral lists this ribosomal RNA (460 nucleotides) under uncultured bacterium. RNAcentral's name for it is "partial 16S ribosomal RNA". It matches the Rfam family "Bacterial small subunit ribosomal RNA", at positions 338 to 795 of the family's 1533-position model. The record is from RNAcentral.
CCUACGGGUGGCAGCAGUGAGGAAUAUUGGUCAAUGGUCGUAAGCCUGAACCAGCCAAGUAGCGUGAGGGAUGACUGUCCUACGGGUUGUAAACCUCUUUUAUCAGGGAACAAAGUCGGGCACGUGUGCCUUUUUGCAUGUACCUUAUGAAUAAGGAUCGGCUAACUCCGUGCCAGCAGCCGCGGUAAUACGGAGGGUCCGGGCGUUAUCCGGAUUUAUUGGGUUUAAAGGGGGCGGAGGGGGGAUGUUAAGUUAGCCGUGAAAGGUUGGGGCUCAACCGUGAGAGUGCAGUGGAAACUGGCGGGCUGGAGUGGGCGAGAGGCAGGCGGAAUGCGUGGUGUAGCGGUGAAAUGCUUAGAUAUCGCGAAGAACCCCGAUUGCGAAGGCAGCUUACCGGAGCGACACUGACGCUGAGGCUCGAAAGCGUGGGUAUCGAACAGGAUUAGAUACCCCGGUAGUC